This 253-nucleotide ribosomal RNA is filed under the name uncultured bacterium. Its description in RNAcentral is "partial 16S ribosomal RNA". It matches the Rfam family "Bacterial small subunit ribosomal RNA", at positions 524 to 776 of the family's 1533-position model. The record is from RNAcentral.
UACGGAGGGUGCAAGCGUUAUCCGGAAUCACUGGGUUUAAAGGGUGCGUAGGCGGAUUAUUAAGUCAGUGGUGAAAGCCGGUCGCUCAACGAUCGAACUGCCAUUGAUACUGAUAGUCUUGAAUUGGGUUGAGGUUAGCGGAAUGUGACAUGUAGCGGUGAAAUGCGUAGAUAUGUCAUGGAACACCAAUUGCGAAGGCAGCUAACUAGGCCUUGAUUGACGCUGAGGCACGAAAGCGUGGGGAGCAAACAGG